Molecule: ribosomal RNA, 408 nt
Filed under: uncultured bacterium
Lineage: Bacteria
Description: bacterial SSU rRNA
Rfam family: Bacterial small subunit ribosomal RNA
Source: RNAcentral
CAGGACUCGACAUCCCUCUGAAUGAUCUAGAGAUAGAUAGGGCAUACCGAAAGGUAUGACAGAGGAGACAGGUGGUGCAUGGUUGUCGUCAGCUCGUGUCGUGAGAUGUUGGGUUAAGUCCCGCAACGAGCGCAACCCUUAUUCCUAGUUGCCAUCAUUAAGUUGGGCACUCUAGGGAGACUGCCGGGGACAACUCGGAGGAAGGUGGGGAUGAGGUCAAAUCAUCAUGCCCUUUAUGUCCUGGGCUACACACGUGCUACAAUGGCCGGUAACAAAGAGCAGCCAGGCGGUAACGCCGAGCAAAUCUCGUAAAACCGGUCUCAGUUCGGAUUGUGGGCUGCAAUUCGCCCACAUGAAGUAGGAGUUGCUAGUAAUCGCGAAUCAGCAUGUCGCGGUGAAUACGUUCCC